Molecule: non-coding RNA, 538 nt
Filed under: Pongo abelii (Sumatran orangutan)
Lineage: Eukaryota; Metazoa; Chordata; Mammalia; Primates; Hominidae
Source: RNAcentral
ACCACACCUCAGGGCAUGCUCUUGCUUCCUCCUGAGGGAGAAGUCUUCUAUGUAUUCCUGCAGGAUUUUAGACAUGGAUUCAUCAAUGCACAGUUGCAGUACUGUACAUGGGAGAAGUCAGGAGUGAUAGUCGAGCUAAGAGACAGAGACAUCAGUAGAGGGAUUCUUUCUGUUGCAAGUAAUGAAAACUCAACUAAAAAUGGCUUAAGAGAAAGAAAAGGAAGAUGUUGAUUCAUAAUACUGGAAAGUCCAGGGCCACAAUGCCUUCAGGGGCUACUGGAGGCUGUGCUUCUUGAAUGAGAGGACAAGCCGAGAAAGAACAUAUGGACACAACAGGUGCAGAAGGAAACAAGUCCAGCCUAAAGAAGUGGGACACCAGGACUCCAGGGAGAGACACACUGAGGGCUUCCAUCACCACCGUCCCCACUGCUAUCAUGCUAACUUUUAAAUCAAGGACUCAAUACCCAGAGUCUGGCCCAGAUUUUUCCUUUGUACUUACUUUAUUUUGACCACAUGCUGAUAAAGUUCCUGCUCAUUU